GACGAACGCUGGCGGCGUGCUUAACACAUGCAAGUCGAACGGAAAGGCCCUGCUUUUGUGGGGUGCUCGAGUGGCGAACGGGUGAGUAACACGUGAGUAACCUGCCCUUGACUUUGGGAUAACUUCAGGAAACUGGGGCUAAUACCGGAUAGGAGCUCCUGCUGCAUGGUGGGGGUUGGAAAGUUUCGGCGGUUGGGGAUGGACUCGCGGCUUAUCAGCUUGUUGGUGGGGUAGUGGCUUACCAAGGCUUUGACGGGUAGCCGGCCUGAGAGGGUGACCGGCCCCAUGGGGCUGGGGUACGGGCCCGAAUCCUACGGGGGGGAGCAGUGGGGGAUAUUGCACAAUGGGCGGAAGCCUGAUGCAGCAACGCCGCGUGCGGGAUGACGGCCUUCGGGUUGUAAACCGCUUUCGCCUGUGACGAAGCGUGAGUGACGGUAAUGGGUAAAGAAGCACCGGCUAACUACGUG
RNAcentral lists this ribosomal RNA (467 nucleotides) under uncultured bacterium. RNAcentral's name for it is "partial 16S ribosomal RNA". It matches the Rfam family "Bacterial small subunit ribosomal RNA", at positions 28 to 507 of the family's 1533-position model. The record is from RNAcentral.